GUAGCUUGCUAUAGUAUGACUUAGUGGCAGACGGGUGAGUAAUGUAUAGGAAUCUACCUAGUAGUACGGAAUAAUUGUUGAAAACGGCAACUAAUACCGUAUACGCCUACGGGGAAAAUUUAUUGCUAUUAGAUGAGCCUAUAUUAGAUUAGCUAGUUGGUGGAGUAAUAGCCUACCAAGGCAAUGAUCUAUAGCUGAUCUGAGAGGAUGAUCAGCCACACUGGAACUGAGAUACGGUCCAG
This 242-nucleotide ribosomal RNA is filed under the name uncultured bacterium. Its description in RNAcentral is "partial 16S ribosomal RNA". It matches the Rfam family "Bacterial small subunit ribosomal RNA", at positions 75 to 334 of the family's 1533-position model. The record is from RNAcentral.